AUGAGUAAAAGAAAAGCGAAUUAGUACAGAAUCAAACAAGUUUAGAGAGUCAGUGGGUGGUGGAAACUGAUCUUGUUUGUUCUCGAAUCCAUCGUUUAAGUUUAAAUAAUGAAGCAUAAAGCCUAAAUUAUUUCGGCGUGGACCGUUAUCCCUGAGAGCGCAAAAAGAUAACUGCGGUGUCUUUUUGAAUCAGGGUGGUACCGCGAGAAGCAGUCCUUUCGUCCCUUAC
This 229-nucleotide non-coding RNA is filed under the name Alkalibacterium sp. RNAcentral describes it as "T-box sequence". It matches the Rfam family "T-box leader". Rfam says of the family: Uncharged tRNA acts as the effector for transcription antitermination of genes in the T-box leader family. T-boxes are found upstream of many aminoacyl-tRNA synthetase genes and some amino acid biosynthetic genes usually in Gram-positive bacteria. The anticodon of a specific tRNA base pairs to a specifier sequence within the T-box motif, and the NCCA acceptor tail of the tRNA base pairs to a conserved bulge in the T-box antiterminator hairpin. The record is from RNAcentral. Lineage: Bacteria; Bacillati; Bacillota; Bacilli; Lactobacillales; Carnobacteriaceae.